Molecule: transfer RNA, 85 nt
Filed under: Felis catus (domestic cat)
Lineage: Eukaryota; Metazoa; Chordata; Mammalia; Carnivora; Felidae
Also listed under: 1 other name
Rfam family: tRNA
About the family: Transfer RNA (tRNA) molecules are approximately 80 nucleotides in length. Their secondary structure includes four short double-helical elements and three loops (D, anti-codon, and T loops). Further hydrogen bonds mediate the characteristic L-shaped molecular structure. tRNAs have two regions of fundamental functional importance: the anti-codon, which is responsible for specific mRNA codon recognition, and the 3' end, to which the tRNAs corresponding amino acid is attached (by aminoacyl-tRNA synthetases). tRNAs cope with the degeneracy of the genetic code in two manners: having more than one tRNA (with a specific anti-codon) for a particular amino acid; and 'wobble' base-pairing, i.e. permitting non-standard base-pairing at the 3rd anti-codon position.
Source: Rfam by way of RNAcentral
GCCUGGGUGGCUUAGUCAGUUAAGCAUCUGACUUUGGCUCAGGUCAUGAUCUCACAGCUUGUGAGUUCAAGCCCCGUAUCAGGCU